This 468-nucleotide ribosomal RNA is filed under the name uncultured bacterium. Its description in RNAcentral is "partial 16S ribosomal RNA". It matches the Rfam family "Bacterial small subunit ribosomal RNA", at positions 28 to 507 of the family's 1533-position model. The record is from RNAcentral.
GACGAACGCUGGCGGCGUGCUUAACACAUGCAAGUCGAACGGAAAGGCCCUGCUUUUGUGGUGUUCUCGAGUGGCGAACGGGUGAGUAACACGUGAGUAACCUGCCCUUGACUUUGGGAUAACUUCAGGAAACUGGGGCUAAUACCGGAUAGGAGCUCCUGCUGCAUGGUGGGGGUUGGAAAGUUUCGGCGGUCGGGGAUGGACUCGCGGCUUAUCAGCUUGUUGGUGGGGUAGUGGCUUACCAAGGCUUUGACGGGUAGCCGGCCUGAGAGGGUGAGCGGCCACAUAGGGACUGAGAUACGGCACAGACUCCGAAGGGAGGCAGAAGGGGGGAAGAUUGCACAAGGGGCGGAAGCCUGAUGCAGCAACGCCGCGUGCGGGAUAACGGCCUUCGGGUUGUAAACCGCUUUCGCCCGUGAAGAAGCGUGAGUGACGGUAAUGGGUAAAGAAGCACCGGCUAAAUACGUG